GACGAACGCUGGCGGCGUGCUUAACACAUGCAAGUCGAACGGAAAGGCCCUGCUUUUGUGGGGUGCUCGAGUGGCGAACGGGUGAGUAACACGUGAGUAACCUGCCCUUGACUUUGGGAUAACUUCAGGAAACUGGGGCUAAUACCGGAUAGGAGCUCCUGCUGCAUGGUGGGGGUUGGAAAGUUUCGGCGGUUGGGGAUGGACUCGCGGCUUAUCAGCUUGUUGGUGGGGUAGUGGCUUACCAAGGCUUUGACGGGUAGCCGGCCUGAGAGGGUGACCGGCCACAUUGGGACUGAGAUACGGCCCAGACUCCUACGGGAGGCAGCAGUGGGGAAUAUUGCACAAUGGGCGGAACCCUGAUGCAGCAACGCCGCCGUGCGGGAUGACGGGCUUUCGGGUUGAAACCGCCUUUCGCUGUGACGAAACGUGAUUGACCGUAUGGGUUAAAGAAGCACCGGUAACUACGUGGCCACACCGCCGGGGAACCCUAGGGUCCAAGCGGUGGUCCGGAUUUAUUGGGCGAAAAGGGUCUAAAGGGGUUGAUCCCUCCGAAGGUAAUCUUGGGGCUUAACCCUGAGCGUGCUUUCGAUACGGGUUGACUUGAGGAAGGUAGGGGAGAAUGGAAUUCCUGGUGGAGCGGUGGAAUGCGCAGAUAUCAGGAGGAACACCAGUGGCGAAGGCGGUUCUCUGGGCCUUUCCUGACGCUGAGGAGCGAAAGCGUGGGGAGCGAACAGGCUUAGAUACCCUGGUAGUCCACGCUGUAAACGGUGGGUACUAGGUGUGGGGUCCAUUCCACGGGUUCCGUGCCGUAGCUAACGCUUUAAGUACCCCGCCUGGGGAGUACGGCCGCAAGGCUAAAACUCAAAGGAAUUGACGGGGCCCCGCACAAGCGGCGGAGCAUGCGGAUUAAUUCGAUGCAACGCGUAGAACCUUACCUGGGUUUGACAUGGAUCGGGAGCGCUCAGAGAUGGGUGUGCCUCUUUUGGGGUCGGUUCACAGGUGGUGCAUGGCUGUCGUCAGCUCGUGUCGUGAGAUGUUGGGUUAAGUCCCGCAACGAGCGCAACCCUUGUUCACUGUUGCCAGCACGUUAUGGUGGGGACUCAGUGGAGACCGCCGGGGUCAACUCGGAGGAAGGUGGGGAUGACGUCAAGUCAUCAUGCCCCUUAUGUCCAGGGCUUCACGCAUGCUACAAUGGCUGGUACAGAGAGUGGCGAGCCUGUGAGGGUGAGCGAAUCUCGGAAAGCCGGUCUCAGUUCGGAUUGGGGUCUGCAACUCGACCUCAUGAAGUCGGAGUCGCUAGUAAUCGCAGAUCAGCAACGCUGCGGUGAAUACGUUCCCGGGGCU
Molecule: ribosomal RNA, 1344 nt
Filed under: uncultured bacterium
Lineage: Bacteria
Description: bacterial SSU rRNA
Rfam family: Bacterial small subunit ribosomal RNA
Source: RNAcentral